AACGCGAAGAACCUUACCUGGGCUCGAAAUGCAGUGGACCGGGGUGGAAACAUCCCUUCCCCUUAAAAGGCUGCUGCAUAGGUGCUGCAUGGCUGUCGUCAGCUCGUGUCGUGAGAUGUUGGGUUAAGUCCCGCAACGAGCGCAACCCUUAUCCCUAGUUGCCAUCGGGUCAAGCCGGGCACUCUAGUGAAACUGCCUGGGAUAACCAGGAGGAAGGUGGGGAUGACGUCAAGUCCUCAUGGCCUUUAUGUCCAGGGCUACACACGUGCUACAAUGGUCGGUACAAACCGUCGCAAACCCGCGAGGGGGAGCUAAUCGGAAAAAGCCGGCCUCAGUUCGGAUUGGAGUCUGCAACUCGACUCCAUGAAGCUGGAAUCGCUAGUAAUCGCGGAUCAGAACGCCGCGGUGAAUACGUUCCCGGGCCUUGUA
This 429-nucleotide ribosomal RNA is filed under the name uncultured Acidobacterium sp. Its description in RNAcentral is "bacterial SSU rRNA". It matches the Rfam family "Bacterial small subunit ribosomal RNA", at positions 958 to 1385 of the family's 1533-position model. The record is from RNAcentral. Lineage: Bacteria; Pseudomonadati; Acidobacteriota; Terriglobia; Terriglobales; Acidobacteriaceae.